RNAcentral lists this ribosomal RNA (231 nucleotides) under uncultured bacterium. RNAcentral describes it as "partial 16S ribosomal RNA". It matches the Rfam family "Bacterial small subunit ribosomal RNA", at positions 524 to 748 of the family's 1533-position model. The record is from RNAcentral.
GACAGAGGUGCCAAGCGUUAGGCGGAAUCACUGGGCUUAAAGCGUGUGUAGGCGGACCGUUAAGUACCUUGUGAAAUCCCCCGGCUCAACCGGGGAACGGCGUGGGUAUACGUGGCGGUCGUUGAGCCAUCCAGGGGCAGUCGGAACAGACGGUGGAGCGGUGAAUGCGUAGAUAUCGUCUGGAACGCCAGAAGGUGAAAACAGACGUGCUGGGGAUGACGCUGGACGCUG